CCUACGGGCGGCUGCAGUGGGGAAUAUUGGGCAAUGGGCGCAAGCCUGACCCAGCAACGCCGCGUGAAGGAAGAAUGCUUUCGGGUUGUUAACUUCUUUUUACAGGGAAGAGUAGAAGACGGUACCUGUCGAAUAAGCCACGGCUAACUACGUGACAGCAGCCGCGGUAAUACGUAGGUGGCAAGCGUUGUCCGGAUUUACUGGGUGUAAAGGGCGUGUAGCCGGGUUGACAAGUCAGAUGUGAAAUCCUGCGGCUUAACCGCAGAACUGCAUUUGAAACUGUUGAUCUUGAGUACUGGAGAGGCAGACGGAAUUCGUAGUGUAGCGGUGAAAUGCGUAGAUAUUAGGAAGAACACCGGUGGCGAAGGCAGUCUGCUGGACAGCAACUGACGGUGAGGCGCGAAAGCGUGGGGAGCAAACAGGAUUAGAUACCCGUGUAGUC
RNAcentral lists this ribosomal RNA (442 nucleotides) under uncultured bacterium. RNAcentral's name for it is "partial 16S ribosomal RNA". It matches the Rfam family "Bacterial small subunit ribosomal RNA", at positions 338 to 795 of the family's 1533-position model. The record is from RNAcentral.